Molecule: ribosomal RNA, 353 nt
Filed under: uncultured Methanoculleus sp.
Lineage: Archaea; Methanobacteriati; Methanobacteriota; Methanomicrobia; Methanomicrobiales; Methanomicrobiaceae
Description: bacterial SSU rRNA
Rfam family: Archaeal small subunit ribosomal RNA
Source: RNAcentral
AUGGCCGUCGUCAGUUCGUACUGUGAAGCAUCCUGUUAAGUCAGGCAACGAGCGAGACCCACGCCAACAGUUGCCAGCAUGUCCUCCGGGAUGGUGGGGACACUGUUGGGACCGCCUCUGCUAAAGAGGAGGAAGGAAUGGGCAACGGUAGGUCAGCAUGCCCCGAAUUAUCCGGGCUACACGCGGGCUACAAUGGUCAGGACAAUGGGUAUCAACACCGAAAGGUGAAGGCAAUCUCCUAAACCUGUCCUUAGUUCGGAUUGUGGGCUGCAACUCGCCCACAUGAAGCUGGAAUCUGUAGUAAUCGCGUCUCAAAAUGGCGCGGUGAAUAUGUCCCUGCUCCUUGCACACAC